GAGUUUGAUCCUGGCUCAGAUUGAACGCUGGCGGCAGGCCUAACACAUGCAAGUCGAACGGUAACAGGAAGCAGCUUGCUGCUUCGCUGACGAGUGGCGGACGGGUGAGUAAUGUCUGGAAGCUGCCUGAUGGAGGGGGAUAACUACUGGAAACGGUAGCUAAUACCGCAUAAUGUCGCAAGACCAAAGAGGGGGACCUUCGGGCCUCUUGCCAUCGGAUGUGCCCAGAUGGGAUUAGCUUGUUGGUGGGGUAACGGCUCACCAAGGCGACGAUCCCUAGCUGGUCUGAGAGGAUGACCAGCCACACUGGAACUGAGACACGGUCCAGACUCCUACGGGAGGCAGCAGUGGGGAAUAUUGCACAAUGGGCGCAAGCCUGAUGCAGCCAUGCCGCGUGUAUGAAGAAGG
This 408-nucleotide ribosomal RNA is filed under the name uncultured microorganism. RNAcentral describes it as "bacterial SSU rRNA". It matches the Rfam family "Bacterial small subunit ribosomal RNA", at positions 9 to 414 of the family's 1533-position model. The record is from RNAcentral.